CUCAUAAAUCCGGCUUCUCUCCUCAGUCCACACUGCAGUUGGCUAAUAGAUCUUCUCUCCUGAAAAAGCCAUGUGCACACUUCCCUCUUCGCUUCCCACAUACUCAGUGUGUCUGUAAGUCAGUGUCAGAGACACACCAAGAGACUGAUCCCAGAGCAGGAAGAAUGCAUUGCUGAGUCUGGAGACCUGCUUUGUCCCUCAGUUUCGGCAGAAACAAGUAUUUAAUUAUUGAAAGCAGAAGUCCUUACUUUGCUCGGUCUUCGUAGAGUCUUAGGGGUGUUGGAGGAGAGAGGUAAGAAAUGCUUAUGUUGGAUUUGGCCCAUAGCGAGCAUCCCUUCCUUAGUGUGCCCUUGCAGGAGUAGGGCCCAGUAGAUCUGUCCUAUAGAGUAGAAAGAAGACUGGGGGCUCCCCUCCCCAUCCUAUAAAUGAUAUCACAUGCCUUAAACAGUUCCAAUGAAGAGCUAAGGAAAUGUUCAGGAGUAUACGGGGACCUUUGUAGAUUAGGAUGCUAAAUUGAGUUGUCCUAGACAUUGUCCCUUCCCCUAGUCCACUGACUACUUUGAUUAUGAACCAAAGCGUGGCAGAUAUAACUGCAUGGUUCCAAGUGUUGUUAUUCAUAUGUAAGAAUAGGUUGCUUGUAUAUAUGGAACCCCAGGUAACCCCUAUUCUGUAGGGACUUCUAGGUUCUGAAAUUGAUUAUGCUAGCAUAUCUUUAGCAAGGCUUUUUAGUUCAUCAAUAACCCACCAUUCAAGUUGUCAUACUACAGAUAGUCUUAGAGCCAAACUCUCCCUAAAGAGGGUUGAUCUGCAGAGGAUUGCCACAUAACUAAGGGAAUGUCUGUGGCAAUGUGAAGGAAUGAUCAACAGACUUCAACAGUUGAACUCAGACCUCACUGUACUGGGCCUUUCUCCUUUCCCCUUCUCUUGGUUUGAGCAGUGUUAACCUGCAUAUAGUCCCUAGGACAUGGAAUUUCAAGUGAGGACAUAGCAGUCGCCCACAUAAUGUCACUGGAAGAGUUACUUGUACAAGGAGGCAUCUAUCCUGCUUUCCAAGGCUCUCCCACCUUGAUUAACCUAACCAAAAUUUCUUUGAACUUUCUAUAGAAGCUAAGCUUCCUAAAAUUCACAGUUGACUUGGCUUGGACAAAGGACUAGGGAUUGUUAACUAGUGAUCUGACCUUGUAGGAAUGUUCUCUGUGAGGUCUUAAUAUGAGUUUGAAAUCUGUAUUUCAGAUAAUCUAUACCUAAGUGACACCAAGAGAAUCAAACUGCAUAAGACAGAGCUUUGACUGACUGAGGUGUGAUUAGACUCUUGAAUAAAACUAUCUAUAUUCCUUUUCCCUUUGGGUUCCAAACAAAUUCUCUGAAGCCAUUGCAGACCUUUUGGGUGGUCCCUCCAGAUGAGUGGCAGAGAUGUUGUGAGCAGUGUACCUCUCCUCCCCUUGGGGUAAGGUUGUGAGUCCGUCCUAGUUGUAGCAUCUCGGAUGCAAGCAGGUACAGUACAAAUAUCAGGCACUUGGUGCCAGGCCAAAAGGAGGCAUAAGUUCUUCAUUUGUUAUAUAGAUAUGUUAUUCUGAUUUGUGUUAAAUUAGAGAAAUGUUCCUAUGCUGUCCACAGUACCAUAGCUUCAUUAGAUUGACUCAAAAUGGAAAAAAAAAAAAAAAAGAUGUUCUCUGGGGUGACAACCAGCUAAUGUGCUAAAUCUUUAUUACAGAAUUCUGCAAAGUCAUGGUUCCCAGCCUUGUUUCCCCCCCAAAUCUGAAACUCACCCUUUCUUUAUUGAAAACAUUACCAGCCCUUCUGAGCCCUUUUUGAAGGGCCUCUCAGCUCAGGGCUUCAGUCCUGCCACAGGUGGAUAGCCAGUGUCUCCAGGCGUAUCCUGGACGCUUGGGCAUGAGAAGAGUGAGUGAAGGAGGCUGGAUUUUGAAUCAGACCUUCUCAGAUGUUCCCCUCCCCACUCCCAUCUCAGCUCCCUCUUCCUCACUGAUCUAAAUCACACGUGGGCAGAGCUCUGGGACCAGCAGCCAAGAUGCCUCUAGACUGGCACCAGCAGCAGGUGCGGUGGGCCCCAGCUUCUCCCAGUCCCUGAAGACACACCACGGCCAGGUGCUUGUGGAGGUUAA
Molecule: long non-coding RNA, 2123 nt
Filed under: Rattus norvegicus (Norway rat)
Lineage: Eukaryota; Metazoa; Chordata; Mammalia; Rodentia; Muridae
Description: long non-coding RNA NONRATT011908
Source: RNAcentral